RNAcentral lists this unclassified non-coding RNA (307 nucleotides) under uncultured soil eukaryote. RNAcentral describes it as "sequence contains 5.8S rRNA gene, ITS2, 28S rRNA gene". The record is from RNAcentral.
AACGCAAGUUGCGCCCGAAGCCUUGGCUGAGGGCACGCCUGCCUGGGUGUCACACGUCGCUCUGCCUCCAAAACCUUCCCCCCGCCAACACCGUGGCGAUGGUUCGGAUGCGGAAGAUGGCCUCCCGUGACCACGAGCCACGGAUGGCCCAAGUUCUUGCUGGGGAAGCGAAGCGCCACGGCUUUCGGUGGUCGGUUUAGCCCCCCGGGGCGAUGAAGCCCGUGGUAGCCGCGACGGUCCUCGGCGUACGACCCUGAUCACUAACCAAUGCGACCUCAGGUCAGGCGGGGCUACCCGCUGAGUUUAA